AUUGCUUCUCAGACUUUUGGUUAAAAUCAAGUAAAUUAUCUGUUCUUACCAGCUUAAUAUCUGAUGAUGUCCUCUAUCUGAGGACGUUAUACUGAAUGGACUUUUAGAGCUGGGAUGUGGAACAGGAGUUUGCUCAGUCCACUCCAUACUUUGAUCCAAUAUUGCAGUACUUCUGGGAAAGGUGCAGCAGGA
Molecule: small nuclear RNA, 192 nt
Organism: Artibeus jamaicensis (Jamaican fruit-eating bat)
Lineage: Eukaryota; Metazoa; Chordata; Mammalia; Chiroptera; Phyllostomidae
Product: U2 spliceosomal RNA
Exons: 1
Source: RefSeq, a predicted model, not a curated record